AGUUCAGAUUGCAGGCUGCAACUCGCCUGCACGAAGUCGGAAUUGCUAGUAAUCGUAGGUCAGCAUACUACGGUGAAUACGUUCCCGGGCCUUGUACACACCGCCCGUCAAACCAUGAGAGUUGGCAACACCCGAAGUCGGUAGUCUAACCGCAAGGAGGACGCCGCCGAAGGUGGGGUUGAUGAUUAGGGUUAAGUCGUAACAAGGUAUC
Molecule: ribosomal RNA, 211 nt
Filed under: uncultured bacterium
Lineage: Bacteria
Description: partial 16S ribosomal RNA
Rfam family: Bacterial small subunit ribosomal RNA
Source: RNAcentral